AGAUUGAACGCUGGCGGCAGGCCUAACACAUGCAAGUCGAGCGGCAGCACGGGUACUUGUACCUGGUGGCGAGCGGCGGACGGGUGAGUAAUGCCUAGGAAUCUGCCUGGUAGUGGGGGAUAACGCUCGGAAACGGACGCUAAUACCGCAUACGUCCUACGGGAGAAAGCAGGGGACCUUCGGGCCUUGCGCUAUCAGAUGAGCCUAGGUCGGAUUAGCUAGUUGGUGAGGUAAUGGCUCACCAAGGCGACGAUCCGUAACUGGUCUGAGAGGAUGAUCAGUCACACGUGGAACUGAGACGACGGUCCAGACUCCGUACGGGAGCAGCAGGUGGGAAUUAGUUGGACAAGUGGGACGAAAGCCUAGACUCCGA
RNAcentral lists this ribosomal RNA (373 nucleotides) under uncultured soil bacterium. RNAcentral describes it as "bacterial SSU rRNA". It matches the Rfam family "Bacterial small subunit ribosomal RNA", at positions 26 to 391 of the family's 1533-position model. The record is from RNAcentral.